This is a long non-coding RNA of Lycium ferocissimum, 2853 nucleotides long. RefSeq lists it as uncharacterized. Lineage: Eukaryota; Viridiplantae; Streptophyta; Magnoliopsida; Solanales; Solanaceae. The record is from RefSeq and is a predicted model, not a curated record. The transcript has 2 exons.
CAAAUCUUGAAACCUUGUAGUACUCCUGCUUUCCUGCAACAUCAAAAUAGUAGAAGAGUAAGACAGCAUACGCAAAAGUAAGUAGAAAGUAACAUAAUCCCGCUAAUCCUUUCACAACCCAAGUAACCAUAAAACUAGUACGAAAUAGGGAAUGAUACAGGAAUACAAUUUGACAAACUUGUCUGAGUUCUCCCGUGCACAGUUAACCUGCAAUGAAGCAUUUAAAAGAUCUUUAGAUUAGAACUUAGUAGUUAAAUAAAUUAAGUAACAUGAUUUCGAAAGGAAUAGAAUGUUCUUUGAGCACAAUGAUAAAGACAAACUUUCAUCCCAGUGGAAAGUUCUUAAACAGUCUCACUGAUGAAAAGGGGAUAACAUAUCAUGUGUCUUAAGGAUUUCAUUUACUUUUUCCUUCUUUAACUACCAAGAAAAAAAAAAUUUGAACUCUUGCUAUUUAGGCAUUGCAACUGGCCAAAUUACAACUUGAGGGCAUUAAGCUUAAACCAAUAUCACUACCUACCUGAAACCUUCAGGUAAUUAUCCGUUCGACUGGUUCACCCAGAAGCAGUGGUGGCGUCGGGAUUUCCACCAAGGGGAUUCAAAAUGUAAAGAAGUAAAUACACGAAAAAGCCAAUAGCAUUCAAAAUCUUACUAUAUAUACAUAAAAAAUGAUUUUGAUCAUAUAUAUACCAUGCGCCCCAGACCCCACAUGUGGGACUACAGUGGGUUGCAUACAUUGUACUGACUACCUCUGCAGGUAUUAUGGACCACGAGGAGGCUCGAAGGAAGAAUGUUGGUGUAAAGGUUCUUGGUUUCUUUUGUUAAGUAAACACCCAGUUUUGGUCUACUUCGGCCUUCAUUACAAUUCAAAGUUUGUUCUGACUUUUGUUUUCCUUCAAUUGUUAGUUGGGAUAUUAUCAUACAAGAUUAUUAGUAUUGUUAACUUGCAUCAGUAGAAUAUAUAAGUUGCUGUUUGUCUAUCAGUUAUCUAUCUUUUACAAGUUUUUUGUGUUUUAGUGUGUUAGUUGGAGCCGAUAUGAACAUCCUGAGCUUUGCAUUUUGAUCACUGAAUCAAAUAGUUGUGACCUUUGUGUUAAGUCAACAUCUGGGAAUUAUUUGUCAUAGCCUCUCCGAUAAUGUUUCCCUAAGCUGGCACUUGUAGAUAAUUCUCAAACUUGCUUAGAACGAUAUUUAUAUCUAGUACCGUUUUGUCAUCUACAAUGCAACGUAUUUUUAAUUAUACUCAUUGAAUAGUGUUUCUUCCUCGAUUCUCUGCUAUUUUAUCGGGCCAAAUGUUAUGGGUUUACAUAUUUAGUCAGCGUCUUCUAUGUUAUGUCAUUGACUCGUGUUGUGCUGAAGAAACAACUAAUGGUUGGAAUCUACUGAUUUGUUAUUCUUGUUUCUUUUUGGAUGGUAUUUUAUCCACUCGUGAAUAGCAAGUUUUGUUUUCCUUACGACCAGAAACUAAGGUAAAAGAACAAUGCCAAAGGUUCUUAGUUGCCCUGACGUUAAAAUUACUAUCAUGACUUGGCCGCCUUCAUCUCAAUCAACCUUGCCCGUACUUCUUAAGCAAAAAGGAAAAAAAAACCUUCCCUGUACACUGCAGCCAUUUCCGCCGCCCGCCAUGUUUUCCUGCAUUAAGAUCCCAUCAGGUUUCAGAACAAAAAAGAAAACAGAGACCAAAUUGUGGUAUGGCAAAUGGUUGAAAGUGAGGAAAGCAAAGUGCAGUCCAAUUUUUAAUGGUUGCUUGGUUUCUUCAUCAAUCCUAAAGCCUGCGCAAAGUAAUGCCAUCUCAAACACCUCCCUCUCCAGGACGUCCAACUUUGCACUUCAAUGGAUUUUAGAGCUUCUUCUUAUCUCAGAUAUAUCGCGGUAAAAAACAUGUGCAGAGAUGUCUUCCAACCAAACAAAUAAACAUCCAUGUACAGAAGAGCGAAAUUAUCAAAUGAAGCUCGAAGGAGAUACUUAUAUGAAGAUAACAGCUGAUAAAAAAGAGGCAAUGUUACUACGACGACGCACCAAAGAGCUGCAGCUACAAAAAUGCAAUCCUCCCAUAAAAUCAGUUGUUGACUACCCAGUUGAAAGAAUAAAGUCUCACUGUAAUCCUACAGCGUCAAAACAAACUGCUCUUACUAUAAGAGAGCCUUCUUCUGCUAAUAUCCUAGGUUGGAAUGACAAACUGCUUCAUCUUUUCUUCUGCUGAUGUCAAAAUAGAAUGAUCUACCUCCAUGCCAACUUAAUGUGGAAUGUGUUUGACAUACCAUGCAGAAGACGGCUGCCAUGAGGUUAAUACUUUAUCGAGUCCUUUUUUUUUAUGUAGUACGUGGUUGUAUUGAAAAGCAUCAAGUAGAUGCAAGAAAGUUACAAAGAAAAGUAGGUGAUAACUCCAAAAAACAAAAAAAUAAGUAAGAUCUGGGAGUUAAAACUAGGGCUGGGCAUAAAUACCGAAAAUCGAAAAACCGGACCGAACCAAAUCGAACUUCAAAAAGUUGAAACCAAAAGAACCGAACCGAACUAUUUUGGUUCGUGUUUGGUGUCCACCUUCAAAAAAUCGAAACCGAAUAGCCGAAUCGAAGAACCGAAUGCUCACCGAAAUUUAAUACAUUAUUCAAAAAAAUUAAAAUAGUUCAGGCUCAUUAAAUUUAAGCUAAAAAAAAAUUCAAUUGUAACAAGCUCUUUUUUGCUUUUGUAUUCUUAAUUUUCCACUUCAGUUGAGAAAAUCAAAUAUCCUUAACAAAAGAAGGUGACUAGGAUGUAUCUUUAGGAUUAAUGUAUGUCCUUUAUGUGUUUUCUUAGUUAUUCUUACUGUAUGUAUAUAACACCGAGUAAUAAUCCUAUAUUAUGGUUAUGAUUUUC